CGGGAAAAGCUCAAAUUUAAAAUCUGGUGGCCGAAAGGUUGCCCGAGUUGUAAUUUAAAGAAGCGUUUUCGGUGGCAGCCUGGGUAUAAAUCCUUUGGAAUAGGGUAUCAUAGAGGGUGAGAAUCCCGUCUUUGACCUAGUGCAUGCUACUAUGUGAUACGUUUUCAAA
RNAcentral lists this ribosomal RNA (169 nucleotides) under Mortierellaceae sp. Its description in RNAcentral is "partial large subunit ribosomal RNA". It matches the Rfam family "Eukaryotic large subunit ribosomal RNA", at positions 99 to 261 of the family's 3401-position model. The record is from RNAcentral. Lineage: Eukaryota; Fungi; Mortierellomycota; Mortierellomycetes; Mortierellales; Mortierellaceae.